GGGGGUAUAGCUCAGUUGGUAGAGCGCCUGCUUUGCACGCAGGAAGUCAGCGGUUCGAAUCCGCUUACCUCCA
RNAcentral lists this transfer RNA (73 nucleotides) under Tumidithrix helvetica PCC 7403. RNAcentral describes it as "Pseudanabaena sp. PCC 7403 tRNA-Ala(tgc)". It matches the Rfam family "tRNA". From Rfam's summary of the family: Transfer RNA (tRNA) molecules are approximately 80 nucleotides in length. Their secondary structure includes four short double-helical elements and three loops (D, anti-codon, and T loops). Further hydrogen bonds mediate the characteristic L-shaped molecular structure. tRNAs have two regions of fundamental functional importance: the anti-codon, which is responsible for specific mRNA codon recognition, and the 3' end, to which the tRNAs corresponding amino acid is attached (by aminoacyl-tRNA synthetases). tRNAs cope with the degeneracy of the genetic code in two manners: having more than one tRNA (with a specific anti-codon) for a particular amino acid; and 'wobble' base-pairing, i.e. permitting non-standard base-pairing at the 3rd anti-codon position. The record is from RNAcentral. Lineage: Bacteria; Bacillati; Cyanobacteriota; Cyanophyceae; Pseudanabaenales; Pseudanabaenaceae. RNAcentral also lists the same sequence under 3 other names.